Molecule: long non-coding RNA, 605 nt
Filed under: Vigna radiata
Lineage: Eukaryota; Viridiplantae; Streptophyta; Magnoliopsida; Fabales; Fabaceae
Description: long non-coding RNA (VRAD_LNC009190)
Source: RNAcentral
AAUAAUAUUUUAAUGAAAAAUGAGAAUUAUCUGUAUUGAUCCCCGAAAGAGGCAAGCAGUCCAACACCUGGGGAAUGCCCAUUGGGGAUCUUGUACUUUUCACUUUAAAAAAACAUCACUAACGUUAAUAUUUUAUGUUUCAUUCCUUAGAUUAUGCUUCUCAAUGUCCAGAUCCAUCACCCUACUUAACACGUGUCACCACAACAACUAAAAUAUUAUAAUUUCUCUUUUAUUUUAUCUUCGCUAAGUUUGUCACCUAAUAGUUUAACAUAAUCUUCAAUUUUCUAAUAUACCCUUCUCUUGUAUGUUAUUCCAUCAUUGGCUGAUUGCAAUUUUCCAAGCUCUUUCAGCGGCUCAAGAUUUUGUUGGUGAGGAAGCCGAUUUUUCUUAGACACCCCAAACACUCACUAACAUCAACCUGACGUAAAUAAUAAACCCCAAGGCUAUUUUCGUCACUUACCAAGAUUUUCUUAUAAUUGGAACUAUAUUUCAAUUUGUAUAGUGAAUAAUAAAUAUAUCACACUUUGCCUUCAAAUAAUAUAAGGAGCUAAUAUUUUUCAUACUGCGUUUUCACCUUAUAAAAUGAAUGUUUUUUUUUCUUUUUC